CACGGGAGACACACGGCGGGUGCUAACGUCCGUCGUGAAGAGGGAAACAACCCAGACCGCCAGCUAAGGUCCCAAAGUCAUGGUUAAGUGGGAAACGAUGUGGGAAGGCCCAGACAGCCAGGAUGUUGGCUUAGAAGCAGCCAUCAUUUAAAGAAAGCGUAAUAGCUCACUGGUCGAGUCGGCCUGCGCGGAAGAUGUAACGGGGCUAAACCAUGCACCGAAGCUGCGGCAGCGAACGUAUCACCCAAGACAACUUUACGGAGUUGACGAUUGACGGAGCGAAGCGACGUCAAAGCGUUCAUUAAAGUCGAGUUGGCUUAGGGAUACGUUCGUUGGGUAGGGGAGCGUUCUGUAAGCCUGUGAAGGUGUGUCGUGAGGCAUGCUGGAGGUAUCAGAAGUGCGAAUGCUGACAUAAGUAACGAUAAAGCGGGUGAAAAGCCCGCUCGCCGGAAGACCAAGGGUUCCUGUCCAACGUUAAUCGGGGCAGGGUGAGUCGACCCCUAAGGCGAGGCCGAAAGGCGUAGUCGAUGGGAAACGGGUUAAUAUUCCCGUACUUGGUGUUACUGCGAAGGGGGGACGGAGAAGGCUAUGUUGGCCGGGCGACGGUUGUCCCGGUUUAAGCGUGUAGGUGUGUGUUCCAGGUAAAUCCGGUUCACUUUAACACUGAGGCGUGACGACGAGGCACUACGGUGCUGAAGCAACAAAUGCCCUGCUUCCAGGAAAAGCCUCUAAGCAUCAGGUAACACGAAAUCGUACCCCAAACCGACACAGGUGGUCAGGUAGAGAAUACCAAGGCGCUUGAGAGAACUCGGGUGAAGGAACUAGGCAAAAUGGUGCCGUAACUUCGGGAGAAGGCACGCUGACACGUAGGUGAAGUGAUUUACUCAUGGAGCUGAAGUCAGUCGAAGAUACCAGCUGGCUGCAACUGUUUAUUAAAAACACAGCACUGUGCAAACACGAAAGUGGACGUAUACGGUGUGACGCCUGCCCGGUGCCGGAAGGUUAAUUGAUGGGGUCAGCGUAAGCGAAGCUCCUGAUCGAAGCCCCGGUAAACGGCGGCCGUAACUAUAACGGUCCUAAGGUAGCGAAAUUCCUUGUCGGGUAAGUUCCGACCUGCACGAAUGGCGUAAUGAUGGCCAGGCUGUCUCCACCCGAGACUCAGUGAAAUUGAACUCGCUGUGAAGAUGCAGUGUACCCGCGGCAAGACGGAAAGACCCCGUGAACCUUUACUAUAGCUUGACACUGAACAUUGAGCCUUGAUGUGUAGGAUAGGCGGGAGGCCUUGAAGUGUGGAGGCCAGUCUGCGUGGAGCCGACCGUGAAAUACUAUCAUUGAAUGUUUGAUGUUCUAACGGGGACCCGUAAUCCGGGUUGCGGACAGGGUCUGGAGGGUAGUUUGACUGGGGCGGUCUCCUCCUAAAGAGUAACGGAGGAGCAC
RNAcentral lists this ribosomal RNA (1437 nucleotides) under Salmonella enterica subsp. enterica serovar Typhimurium. RNAcentral describes it as "bacterial LSU rRNA". It matches the Rfam family "Bacterial large subunit ribosomal RNA", at positions 976 to 2311 of the family's 2925-position model. Lineage: Bacteria; Pseudomonadati; Pseudomonadota; Gammaproteobacteria; Enterobacterales; Enterobacteriaceae. The record is from RNAcentral.